CAAAAGAACGGCGGCUGAUUCAUGAUAAGGACUCAACUACUGCCUUCUCUAGCUCGGGAGAAAGCAGAAAGAGCCCCUUGGCCGGCCGGCCAGAGCGAAGGGAGUGGUUUCCAGUCUAGACUUGAGACCUCGAUAUCUUACGGUAACUGUCUACUCAGAGGCUAAACAUGACACAAAACUCUGCUUGUGUCGCAAUCCAACAAAACAUAGCAGACCUAGCAACUUCCAUUGCUGUAUGUUGUGAACCAAGAAUGUUUUUCGAUUUACUUGUUGAAAAAAACUUGGUCCCCUACCUUAGUUCGGUAGAAAUAAUAGAUGUACAAGGUAUAUCCAACCAUUGCAAAGUCAGUCGGCUUUUGUCUUUAGUCGCUGUCGAGCCAGAUGCAAAAGAAAAUAUCUUCAAAUUGAUGGACAUUGUAAGAGAUCUAGGCCCAAGUCCGACUUGUAUUGCUGACAAAGUUUUGCAGGAUUAUAGAAGCCUUGCACAAGUGUGUCCAAAUGAGGAAACAGCAAUAUCAGCAUCAAACACAAAGGCCAGUUGCAACAAGCAAAAAGUUCGUGAUAAUUGUGCAACACGUGAAGCCUAUAAGGAGCUCGAAUAUCAAUAUUCGAUAUGUAUUCUCUCCAUUGAGAAGCUGUUCAAGCAGGAAAAGAUUCCUUUGAGUGACUUGAAAACGAUGUGGUCCCAUAUCUGCAACAAGAAAAAACAUCACAAGGCCCUCCGAAGCAAGACUAUACGAGAUUUUGUACGAAUCGUGAGUCAUGAUGGUCGACUACCAUCACUCCAGUAUCGAUCCCUUGAAAAGUUAGUUGUCCAUUUUUCACCAAUAAAUGGUGCAAAAUUAAUCAAAGACUAUAAAAAAAAGAUUAAGAAAUAUUUGAAGUCUCAGGUUAGCUGUGGUGUCCAACAACUAAGGGUAAAAGUUAAUCUGAGCUUUGAUAAGUAUGAUGACAUCCUAGAUUUGAGGACUACAUUAGGGAAGCUGUUCAAAUUUUGUCCUGAAGAGGUUGCUCUGGUAUCAGCUGAAGAGGGAUCAAUAGUCCUAACAUAUCUAGUACUGUCGUCGGUUGGUGUGAGUAUAAACGCAUGGAAGUUCAAAGAAGAAGACAGUGAUGUCCUGCAAAAAGCCAAUAUUGAAUUGAUAUCUGUUGAAGGGCAAACUGUAUGGGAUAGUGCUGCUCAACGAGACCUGAGUGUAGGUGUGAUCCAGCCAAAGCCUGAUAUGCUGACAUUAACGAAGUCGUCUUCAAAAGAUGGUCGUACUCGUUCAUAUUCUGGCAAAAGACUAGUGUUUAGGGGUGAUCAUGAAAUACCUAAAGUCCGCUCUCAAAAGAAGUGUGAAACUAUUCGACAACUGCUUGUAACUACAUGUACCAUUCUUCUCUUAGCAGUUGGAGUUACUUUUACAGCAGUGGCAGUUGGCAGCUCAAACAGUGUUGUUGGGUGGAUUGGAUUCCUUCUUACUUCUGUUGGUGUUUUGCUGAGCUACUGUACAUGUGGAUCAAAGAGAUAUUUUAAGAUUUUGUUUAUAUCAUGUUUUGUAUAUGAUUGUAUAGCAUUGUUAAUGUUAUUUUAGUUUCUCAAAUAGAAAAUGGCGCUAAUAUGAAAAGUAUAUACUUAUACAUAAUUAUAUACUGAUAGCACGUACAAAUGCUGGCACUGCACCGAUCAUAAUUAUUUUGAAUUUCAGUUUCAACUUUACCUGUAUAAUAUGUUUUGUAUAAUUGGGGCGAGCGAAGCGAGUCCCUUAGUUAGUCAUGCACGUGGUCCGGGUGGUGUAUGUAUGUAUGUAUGUAGUCCACCGUGGACCUUUGACUCCAGUUGCGUGGGGUGCCAAGAACAUUUGAUCUUUGACCUCAUUUUCUGUCUGAUCAUUGAUCAGCUUCAGGUACGUAUGCUAUUUAUGCUAGACGUAUGCACUGGCUGGAUCUACCAUAGGCCUCCAUGCUUUUGCACUUGGAAGUACAUCUACAGUAUAAACAUGGCUGCCAUUAUUUUUAUCAAUGACAGAAUAAAAUAAUAAUGUUUAUUCCAGUCCUGUCUUCUCUUCUUGAACUUCUCUUGCUUCUUGGUGUUCCUCUUAGGUAUUUCACUUUCAUUAUUGAGAAAAGAAGGCCGGUGAAGGAGCCUCAAUUCCCUGAGUGUAGUGCGGCCUGGGAUCGAGACUAUUGAGGAGUAUAAUAUACUUGUCCAACGACCACUUAUAUAUUAUCUUCAACAAGAUUACAGGACAAUGACAAAUUAAUCAACGUCACAUUUAUAUGUACUACUGUAAUGAAAAAAGAAAGGGAAUCAAAACUAAAAAACAUUUGCAAUGUGAACGUUGCUAGGAUUGCCCGGCAGGAAAAGAAAAGCGCGAAAAAGCGAAGAAACAAGAAAUUCGGCGAGUGCAUAACUCCAAUCCGUUACAACAUCUGUUCAUGAACAUGUAUAGCCGAGUGGCCUACUGUUGAUAAUGAUUUUAGAAUCAAAAUACAGGUUGGGUGAAAAUGAUAAGAAUUCACAAUCAUCCACCUACACAUCCAACACUUGCAUGUUUGCUCAACACUGUAAGGGAAAACAUCACAAACACAUUAUUAUAGCUUGCUUAUAACAAUGAAAAUUACUGAAGGAUUGGCCAGGAAAAGAAAAAAAAUAUUGCUUCGAACAGUACAUGUGAAUGACGUUGUAACGGAUUGGAGUUAUGCACUCACCGAAUUUCUUGUUUCUUCGCUUUUUCGCGCUUUUCUUUUCCUGGCAAUCCUAGAAACGUUCACAUUGCAAAUGUUUUUUAGUUUUGAUAGGGUAUAGAGUUACAGUACGUGGCAUGGGUCAAGUACCUGUAAUCUUAGGACUAGUUCUCCAAUCGCUUCAAUAUGAUUUGUGGCACGAUAGGCUGCCAAGUUGAUAUGUAUAUAGCUUUCAGCUAAAAUGAAGUUAUAAAUCCAAGGUAUACACACUGGAGGUCCUAGAUCUUUGAGUUUCUCCGUAUUAAAAUGUAUUUCUAUAGUAGGAGUGAAUAUUGUGGUAUGUCAUGAAUUUGUAUAAUUAUAGUUCACUCUGGCUGUGUUAAUUGUGUGUAGUGUAUACAUUAAUUGGUUGUAGUUUAAUGAAAUUAAACGUAUUUAACGGCAAAGGGGGUUACCCAGGGUACUGCUGCGGCCGCGCAUGCGUAUUAGGAUGACCAGCCUAGUGCGACCACCUGUUUAAUAUCACACGAGAGCGGAGUAGCUGCUUCAAUCAUUUUGAAUCCUGUAUCUAAAAGUUGUCUCCCUAUCAUUGGACUAUGAAAGACGGCUCUGAGAAUACUCCUCCACCAGCACCCCCGUUCACCCGGGAUAUGCUGAAAACCCUACUACGGGAAGUGAUUCGGGAGGAAAGCGAGCAUGAAAUGAGGGAAGGAGAAGCCCAGAGAAUCCAGCGGUACAGGUGAAUAAGUUUGUUGGGUCGUUCUUGGUUUGGUAGAGUAGAAUAUCCAAGUGUAUAGCAUCAUGUACAUGGUCUUUGACACGGCUGGCAGUAGCUAUGAGGUGAAGCAAAAAGUGUACGUAGGCCUCGUGGAUGCUCCUCCGAGCUGGGGUAGGGCUGAUCCCUUUGGAUGCUCCUCUGAGCUGGGGUGGGAAAAAAUGUAUAGGGCAUGGUCCCCGUGGAAGCUCCUCCGAGCUGGGGUGUAGGCAUGGUCUCCUUCCUCUGAGUGGGGGCUUGAAAAUAUAGGCUAUGGUCCCCUUGGAGGCUCCUCUGAGCUGGGGUGUAGCUAGGGCAUGGUCCCCGUGGAUGCUCCUCCAAGCGGGGGUGUGAAUAUGUAGGGCAUGGUUUUUGAGGUGGUGGAAAAACGUAGGCCCCCUAUGGUGGGUGGAUGCUCCUCUGAGCCGGGGGAAUGGGGGCUCCUUCGAGUUGGCUCUGGUGGGCUCCUCUGAGCCCGGGUGGGAUAACGUAUGGCAGGGCGGCUUGCAAAACUCCACUGGGAGCGAUCCCACGGGAGGGGAGGUUGAGGGUGCCUGUGUUCGGUGGCGUGGAUGAUAAAGACGAAGACACAUCGGGUCCAAGGUGACCCCAGGAGGGGGAGCUCGAGUGAAGGAGUCCAGUGUCAUCUCGGAGCCCCGGUUUAUACUGAGCGAGGGCCUGCCCCCUGUUCCACCCAAGUUACAGAAAAGAGACUUUGUGGACACGGCAGAGCUUCUCUGGGAGUUAGGUAGGAGACAGAACCUGGAGGCGGGUCGAGGAGGUGGAGCUCACAUCUCGCGCAGGGAGGUUCAUGAGGCCUGCCGGUGCGGAGGGAAAGGUUGGCAGGUGUACGACUCGAUGUUUCGCCAGCAAGCAGCCAACAAUCCCAAAGUGAACUGGUCAGUGUUGAACAGUUUCUUGUACUCCACAUCGUUCCUGGCCAUGCGAGGGAGGGCAUGCCAGCACUGCAUGGAGACUGACCACGCCUCACAGGCUUGUGCCUUGGCCCCUACUCUCGUCAGCAAGACAGGCCAGGGGAAGGGUUCUCCAGGGAGUACGGCGACCAAAGAAGGGAAAGAACAAAGAUACGGGGAGCCUGCUUUGAUUGGAAUGAGGAAAAAUAUGAUCUUCCCUACUGUCGCUUUAAGCACGUGUGUACAAAGUGUGGGGGCUACCAUCGGGAGCAUCAGUGCCGAGGUGCAGCCAUGAAGGACCCCCCAUUCCCAGGACGGCCACGGGAGGUACCUGGAUUGACGGAGCAGUUGUGCUAGGUCGUUACUCGUAAAUGGCGGACCUACGAACCUUGAAGAGUAAGGUUUCCCCUCGGCUUUAUUUCCCACAACUGGCGCAGGUGAGCACCCCCCUCGGAGCGGAAAAGGGGGAGUCCAUGAUCAAGAGUUUGCUCGAUACUUGUUGCAGGGAAUCAAGGAGGGUUUCCACAUUGGCUUCGAUAGGGACUCGGUAAAAUGCUGCAGCGCUCAGCGAAACAUGCAGUCUGCCAUUGUCAACCCGUCCGUAGUCACAGGCUCCCAGCAGAUAGACUGGCAAGACUACAGUUGUUGAUCAACCAGUGGAGCACAAAAACGGUCUGCACAAAACGGGACCUGCUCUCGUUGCUUGGCCACCUACAACACGCUUGUAAAGUGGUCCCAUCUUGUCGUAGCUUCCUACGGCGCAUGAUUAAUACCUUGACCUAUGCAAAAGAACUGUACCAUCAUAUUCGUCUCAAUCGGGAAUUCCGUUCGGACCUUCGGUGGUGGCUUUGUUUCUGGCAGACUGGAAUGGCACUCGGAUAAUGUCCUCUAGAUCCAAGCUAUGCCCGGACGUCAUCCUCACCUCGGAUGCGUCAGGUUCCUGGGGGUGCGGUGCCUUCACGUCGCACCACGAGUGGUUUCAGUAUACAUGGCCCCCCCCUCUUGAGCGGGAAUCCACAUUACGGUAAAGGAAUUAUUGCCGAUUGUGAUGGCUUGUGCUGUGUGGGAGAGUCAAUGGUCCUCCAAGUCAGUUAAGUGCUUCUGUUAAUUUUCUACCCUAUAAUUAUAUAAGCUAACUUGUGGUUGGUUCCCUCCGGGGUGAAGAUGUAUCGAUCGAUGGACCAAGUUUGUUCUGAGGGGGAACAGUAUCGAGAAUCAUUGAUGCAUGGAAAUUACACUCAGUCUGGCCUGCGCUAACAAAUACCAUACCAACCCAGUGGACACGGAUUGGUGUUGGAAGAUGGACUAUGCGGAUACCAUUCUAAAAGAAGCUCUGGACAAUCAUUGCCAAAAUGGUCAAACAGUUCAAAGGUAUACUGGACUCUGGACUCAUGUCAUAUAAUACCUGGAAUUCAGUGACAAGUUCAUCUACUUUAACUUUUUCUUCCUCUAUAGUGAGUACUGUAUUCACUUUAUGAGCCAUUUCAGAUAUACUAUGAUAUAGAAAGAUCUAUAUGUAUGCAGGCUCUAAGUCUUUAUAAAAUAUAUA
RNA transcript from Halichondria panicea, 5887 nucleotides. RefSeq lists it as uncharacterized. The record is from RefSeq and is a predicted model, not a curated record. The transcript has 12 exons. Lineage: Eukaryota; Metazoa; Porifera; Demospongiae; Suberitida; Halichondriidae.